AGAACAGCAGCCCGAUGUUUCUUGCAGAGCAGAGCAGUUGUAUGGAUGAAUCGAUCUUAUUUCGACCGUGGAUCGAUCUCCAUCGCUGAUGAUUGUUGCGUGGACGUAGUUAUUCUGUAACAACACAAAGAUGGUCAAUGGGGGUGCCUGCAGAUUGUAUCCAUAUAAUUUCGACAACAAUCGGUUCAGUAGAGCUUGAGAUAUCGUGUACGUCAGUUUGAAAAAAAAACUAGGGUCGAGAAAAACGCAUUUGAAGUUCAUUGUUAUGGCCGUAACAGGAUAGAUACCGCAUCACUAAAAUGGCUCUAACUCGGUAAAUAAUAGGAUUUUCGAUAAGGACUAGAAUACUCCCUUAAAUUAGCGCGGAAAAAACGGACAAGAAAACAGAAAAUGAUCAGCUUGGAUACACACGAUCAACAAGAAUUACUCACAACGUUAUUUUUAAUUAAUUGCUGCCGGCCGCAUGGACAAUGUCGGAGGGCCGCAGGUUGGCCACCACUGGUUUAAAAUAUCGUAAGGGUUCUUCUUCUUGAAUGGCGUUAACGUUCCCUGUGGAACUUUUGCCGUCUUAACGUAUGCAUUAACUAGCGUCAUUUAUUAAUACUUAGUUGAGAUUCCGUGAGCCAAAUAACACGUCUUGAAUGUAUUCCGAGGGGCAAGCUCUUGAAUACGCGUGACCACAGUGUAAGUCGAAGGAAAUUUCUUUGACGAAAAAUCCCCCCGACCAGAACGGGAAUC
This is a long non-coding RNA of Toxorhynchites rutilus septentrionalis, 738 nucleotides long. RefSeq lists it as uncharacterized. The record is from RefSeq and is a predicted model, not a curated record. The transcript has 3 exons. NCBI's taxonomy places the organism in Eukaryota, Metazoa, Arthropoda, Insecta, Diptera, Culicidae.